This 1015-nucleotide ribosomal RNA is filed under the name Tenuibiotus cf. ciprianoi ES086. RNAcentral's name for it is "SSU rRNA". It matches the Rfam family "Eukaryotic small subunit ribosomal RNA", at positions 125 to 1139 of the family's 1831-position model. The record is from RNAcentral. Lineage: Eukaryota; Metazoa; Tardigrada; Eutardigrada; Parachela; Macrobiotidae.
UCGUAUCCAUUUACACGGAUAACUGUGGUAAUUCUAGAGCUAAUACGUGCAAUCAGCUCGCUUCCUUGUGGAGCGAGCGCAGUUAUUAGAACAAGACCAAUCCGGCCUUCGGGUCGGUAAAAUUGGUGACUCUGAAUAACCGAAGCGGAGCGCAUGGUCUCGUACCGGCGCCAGAUCUUUCAAGUGUCUGACUUAUCAGCUUGUUGUUAGGUUACGUUCCUAACAAGGCUAUUACGGGUAACGGGGAAUUAGGGUCCGAUUCCGGAGAAGGAGCCUGAGAAACGGCUACUACAUCCAAGGAAGGCAGCAGGCGCGCAAAUUACCCACUCCCGGCACGGGGAGGUAGUGACGAAAAAUAACGAUGCGAGGGCUCUAUGCUUCUCGUAAUCGGAAUGGGUACACUUUAAAUCCUUUAACGAGGAUCUAUUGGAGGGCAAGUCUGGUGCCAGCAGCCGCGGUAAUUCCAGCUCCAAUAGCGUAUAUUAAAGUUGCUGCGGUUAAAAAGCUCGUAGUUGGAUCUGGGCAGCUGAACGGAUGGUGCGCUUUACAGCGUUACUGUCUGUUUGGUGCCACAAGCCGGCCAUGUCUUGCAUGCCCUUCACUGGGUGUGCUUGGCGACCGGAACGUUUACUUUGAAAAAAUUAGAGUGCUCAAAGCAGGCGUACGGCCUUGCAUAAUGGUGCAUGGAAUAAUGGAAUAGGACCUCGGUUCUAUUGUGUUGGUUUUCGGAACUCGAGGUAAUGAUUAAGAGGAACAGACGGGGGCAUUCGUAUUGCGGCGUUAGAGGUGAAAUUCUUGGAUCGUCGCAAGACGAACUACUGCGAAAGCAUUUGCCAAGAAUGUUUUCAUUAAUCAAGAACGAAAGUUAGAGGUUCGAAGGCGAUCAGAUACCGCCCUAGUUCUAACCAUAAACGAUGCCAACCAGCGAUCCGUCGGUGUUUUUUUGAAGACUCGACGGGCAGCUUCCGGGAAACCAAAGUGCUUAGGUUCCGGGGGAAGUAUGGUUGCAAAGCUG